Molecule: unclassified non-coding RNA, 228 nt
Filed under: rhizosphere metagenome
Description: partial ribosomal RNA internal transcribed spacer region
Source: RNAcentral
GUAGGUGAACCUGCGGAAGGAUCAUUACUGCUACCUCUGCCAUCCCCCUAACCCGGGAUGUGUAGACACGCCACCCUUGUAUAAUAUAUAUUGUUGCUUUGGCAGGCCGCCUUCGGGCACCGGCUUCGGCUGGAUCGUGCCUGCCAGAGGAUUCCAAACUCUGAAUGUCAAUGUCGUCUGAGUACUAUUUAAUAGUUAAAACUUUCAACAACGGAUCUCUUGGUUCUG